This 802-nucleotide ribosomal RNA is filed under the name uncultured bacterium. RNAcentral describes it as "bacterial SSU rRNA". It matches the Rfam family "Bacterial small subunit ribosomal RNA", at positions 8 to 830 of the family's 1533-position model. The record is from RNAcentral.
AGAGUUUGAUUCUGGCUCAGAACGAACGCUGGCGGCAUGCCUAACACAUGCAAGUCGAACGCUUUUGGGGCUUCGGCCCCAAGGGAGUGGCGCACGGGUGAGUAGCGCGUGGGAACCUGCCCUGUUGUGGGGGAUAACCGAGGGAAACUUCGGCUAAUACCGCAUAAGCCGGUUGUCUUGAGAGAGAUGGCCGGGAAAGAUUUAUCGCGACAGGAGGGGCCCGCGUCGGAUUAGCUAGUUGGUGGGGUAACGGCCCACCAAGGCAGUGAUCCGUAGCUGGUCUGAGAGGAUGAUCAGCCACACUGGGACUGAGAUACGGCCCAGACUCCUACGGGAGGCAGCAGUGGGGAAUAUUGGACAAUGGGCGCAAGCCUGAUCCAGCAAUGCCGCGUGAGUGAUGAAGGCCUUAGGGUUGUAAAGCUCUUUCGCCCGCGACGAUGAUGACGGUAGCGGGAGAAGAAGCCCCGGCUAACUUCGUGCCAGCAGCCGCGGUAAUACGAAGGGGGCGAGCGUUGUUCGGAUUUACUGGGCGUAAAGGGCGCGUAGGCGGCCCUCCUUGUCGCGUGUGAAAGCCCCGGGCUCAACCUGGGAAUUGCGCGCGAAACGGGGGGGCUUGAGUUCGGGAGAGGAGCGUGGAAUUCCCAGUGUAGAGGUGAAAUUCGUAGAUAUUGGGAAGAACACCGGUGGCGAAGGCGGCGCUCUGGACCGAGACUGACGCUGAGGCGCGAAAGCGUNNNGAGCAAACAGGAUUAGAUACCCUGGUAGUCCACGCCGUNNNCGAUGUGUGCUAGACGUUGGNNAG